UUUGAUCCUGGCUCAGAACGAACGCUGGGGUGGGCUUAACACAUGCAAGUCGAGCGAGACCUUCGGGUCUAGCGGCGGACGGGUGAGUAACGCGUGGGAACAUACCCUUCUCUACGGAAUAGUCUCGGGAAACUGGGUUUAAUACCGUAUACGCCCUUCGGGGGAAAGAUUUAUCGGAGAAGGAUUGGCCCGCGUUGGAUUAGGUAGUUGGUGGGGUAAUGGCCUACCAAGCCGACGAUCCAUAGCUGGUUUGAGAGGAUGAUCAGCCACACUGGGACUGAGACACGGCCCAGACUCCUACGGGAGGCAGCAGUGGGGAAUCUUAGACAAUGGGGGCAACCCUGAUCUAGCCAUGCCGCGUGAGUGACGAAGGCCCUAGGGUCGUAAAGCUCUUUCGCCAGGGAAGAUAAUGACGGUACCUGGUAAAGAAACCCCGGCUAACUCCGUGCCAGCAGCCGCGGUAAUACGGAGGGGGUUAG
Molecule: ribosomal RNA, 479 nt
Filed under: uncultured bacterium
Lineage: Bacteria
Description: bacterial SSU rRNA
Rfam family: Bacterial small subunit ribosomal RNA
Source: RNAcentral